This is a long non-coding RNA of Drosophila pseudoobscura, 1380 nucleotides long. RefSeq lists it as uncharacterized. Lineage: Eukaryota; Metazoa; Arthropoda; Insecta; Diptera; Drosophilidae. The record is from RefSeq and is a predicted model, not a curated record. The transcript has 2 exons.
UUUUGCUCUGCACACAUAUACACAUACUACUCGAAUGGCCUACGCGGAGAAAGAGAAAGAAAGAGAGGGAUAAAGAUAAGGGAGAGUGAAACAGAACGUCGUCUGGGAUGAUAAACGCCUCUGGUCUUUUUUGGCGGGCCCAUGAAUGAAACAAUUGCCCGGAAUGACUGACUAGCAGAAUCGGAGACUGACAGAAUGGGAGACUGGCAGACUGGCAGACUGAUUGCUACCAAUUGCCCACUGUGGCAUGACAAGGUCGGGGGGAAAGUGCGGGCAUGGGGGAGAGGAAAGCCGCCAGCAAUAAACACUUUGCCACGACAAAAGUCUGAUGAUGUAGACGAUGAUGAACUAGAUUCUGGGGAUGAUGCUGAUGACGGCAAGGCUGAUGAUAAUGGAAAUGAUUUUCAUUGGCACGUUCCCCCAUUUCAUUUGGGCCUAUCCUUCAUUGGCAUUGCGUUGUAGCCGGCCCUUAGCCUCACGUUGAAUUCAGUGGGGCAGGUUAUUUGUGUGCCUUCUUAUACAUAUUUCCAUUUGUUUUUGAAUCAUUUGUAGUUCUUUUCUUUAUCAUUAGAAAGAGUCUUCUAUGAAUUUAGUCUGACUGGAGUCCGCUGCACAUAUGGGACCCGGAGCAGACAACAAAUGGCAGGAGUGAAGGUGGACAGCAAAGGACUGAGCGCACGUCUUCUGUGACAAGUGUUGGCUAAAAGUCUGAGGUUGUUGCAAUCAUUUUCGAUUCUCCUCCCCAUUCUCGCUACCUUUCGUUCCCCCUUGGCCCAGGAAAAACUGAAAACUCUGAAGGGACAAAACACCAACCACCGCGUUCAGAGAGAGGCACAGGAGCAGAGGACGACCGGAAGUCCCCUGGCCGUGGCCGUGGGCAGAGGAAAACGCUUGUAAAACGAGCACACGAGAGAGCACGAGCCCCGAGGCAGUACGAAGGCUGAAAAGGAAACGACAAUUACGAGGACAUGCCGGCCUGUUGGUCCUGCGGUCUAGUCAGUCACAGCCGUGCAAUCGUCGGGACAACACGCGGAUAUCGUUCGCUCGACUCUAGAACUGACAACUUUGAAUCGAGAGCCGGGGGCUGCAACCACAUCUGCGGAUCCUUUCGACUGCACUCGUAAUUUUCUUUCAGCGGUUAUGUAGGAUGAACCUGUGCGACUUCGUAUACGUAUACUGAAUGUAUCCUGAGUGUAUCCUAUCCGGUAUACCUUCAGUAUACGUAACACGAGGAAACACCAGCAACGCGGGAUACGUCGAACUGAAACCGAGCACUGUGAUUUAUUCUAGCACUUUUUAACACUUUGUCUUAGCCGUUUUCUCACUUUUCACCUUGUAAUCGAAAUAAAAUAGUUCACAAAAUACCACUUUAAAAUCAAA